GACGAACGCUGGCGGCGUGCCUAAUACAUGCAAGUUGAGCGCUGAAGGUUGGUACUUGUACCAACUGGAUGAGCAGCGAACGGGUGAGUAACGCGUGGGGAAUCUGCCUUUGAGCGGGGGACAACAUUUGGAAACGAAUGCUAAUACCGCAUAAAAACUUUAAACACAAGUUUUAAGUUUGAAAGAUGCAAUUGCAUCACUCAAAGAUGAUCCCGCGUUGUAUUAGCUAGUUGGUGAGGUAAAGGCUCACCAAGGCGAUGAUACAUAGCCGUCCUGAGAGGGUGAUCGGCCGCAUUGGGACUGAGACACGGCCCAAACUCCUACGGGAGGCAGCAGUAGGGAAUCUUCGGCAAUGGACGAAAGUCUGACCGAGCAACGCCGCGUGAGUGAAGAAGGGUUUCGGAUCGUAAAACUCUGUUGGUAGAGAAGAACGUUGGUGAGAGUGGAAAGCUCAUCAAGUGACGGUAACUACCCAGAAAGGGACGGCUAACUACGUG
This 497-nucleotide ribosomal RNA is filed under the name uncultured bacterium. RNAcentral describes it as "partial 16S ribosomal RNA". It matches the Rfam family "Bacterial small subunit ribosomal RNA", at positions 28 to 507 of the family's 1533-position model. The record is from RNAcentral.